This 525-nucleotide long non-coding RNA is filed under the name Sus scrofa (pig). RNAcentral's name for it is "lncRNA (ENSSSCG00070003321.1)". Lineage: Eukaryota; Metazoa; Chordata; Mammalia; Artiodactyla; Suidae. The record is from RNAcentral.
CUUAAUUCAGUUAACUAGAGUUCUGAAGCUUGAAGCUCUCUCUCUGUAUUUUAGAACAGCCCUCAUACUUGCUGUAAAUUUUGCAUCAUCAAGUGUAGUCAGGCUGCUUCUUGAGCAAGGCGUUGAUAUCUCUCCUCAAGAUCGCUAUGGACGGAAUGCAGAAGACUAUGCUGUUAUCAAGGGUCAUCAAAUAAUGCACAACCUGAUUUUGAAAUAUAAAGGAGAAAAGGGACUUAAAACACCUUCUCGAGACACUAUACUAGAUCGCACAGCAGAGGGACCUCCAAGGCAGACAUCAGGAGAAACGGAGUCAAAGCAAGGUAUUCGGUGAAAGGACCUGACUGUAAUUCGGUAUAACACAUUCAUCCAAAUCAUACCAAUUUCAUGUAAAUAAUGGAAUUGUUUCAGCGGUUCUCCAAACCGCACCAGGGUCAGUCAUUCACUACAACUCCCAGGUUUCAGACAUAGCGAAAGGAAGGAGGGAGGAAAGAAACACAUGAAGUGGGUGAUUGUGGAAGUAACGAG